This 290-nucleotide ribosomal RNA is filed under the name uncultured bacterium. Its description in RNAcentral is "partial 16S ribosomal RNA". It matches the Rfam family "Bacterial small subunit ribosomal RNA", at positions 505 to 796 of the family's 1533-position model. The record is from RNAcentral.
GUGCCAGCAGCCGCGGUAAGACGGGGGGGGCAAGUGUUCUUCGGAAUGACUGGGCGUAAAGGGCACGUAGGCGGUGAAUCGGGUUGAAAGUGAAAGUCGCCAAAAACUGGUGGAAUGCUCUCGAAACCAAUUCACUUGAGUGAGACAGAGGAGAGUGGAAUUUCGUGUGUAGGGGUGAAAUCCGCAGAUCUACGAAGGAACGCCAAAAGCGAAGGCAGCUCUCUGGGUCCCUACCGACGCUGGAGUGCGAAAGCAUGGGGAGCGAACGGGAUUAGAUACCCUGGUAGUCC